UACGUAGGGGGCAAGCGUUGUCCGGAAUCAUUGGGCGUAAAGAGCGUGUAGGCGGCCAGAUAAGUCCGCUGUGAAAUCUCGAGGCUCAACUUCGAGCUGUCGGUGGAAACUGUCUGGCUAGAGUCCGGAAGAGGAGAAUGGAAUUCCUGGUGUAGCGGUGAAAUGCGCAGAUAUCUGGAGGAACACCGGUGGCGAAGGCGGCAUCCUGGACCAACACUGACGCUGAGUGAGCGAAAGCCAGGGGAGCAAACGGG
RNAcentral lists this ribosomal RNA (254 nucleotides) under uncultured bacterium. RNAcentral's name for it is "partial 16S ribosomal RNA". It matches the Rfam family "Bacterial small subunit ribosomal RNA", at positions 524 to 776 of the family's 1533-position model. The record is from RNAcentral.